This 104-nucleotide ribosomal RNA is filed under the name uncultured bacterium. RNAcentral describes it as "partial 16S ribosomal RNA". It matches the Rfam family "Bacterial small subunit ribosomal RNA", at positions 1379 to 1482 of the family's 1533-position model. The record is from RNAcentral.
CCUUGUACACACCGCCCGUCACACCAUGGGAGUUGGUUCUACCCGAAGACGAUGCGCCAACCGCAAGGGGGCAGUCGGCUACGGUAGGGUCAGCGACUGGGGUG